RNAcentral lists this ribosomal RNA (440 nucleotides) under uncultured bacterium. Its description in RNAcentral is "partial 16S ribosomal RNA". It matches the Rfam family "Bacterial small subunit ribosomal RNA", at positions 338 to 795 of the family's 1533-position model. The record is from RNAcentral.
CCUACGGGGGGCAGCAGUGGGGAAUAUUGGACAAUGGGGGAAACCCUGAUCCAGCGACGCCGCGUGAGGGAAGAAGGUUUUCGGUAUGUAAAGCUCUGUCAGUGGGGAAGAAAAUGACGGUACCCGUGUAAGAAGCCACGGAUAACUACGUGCCAGCAGCCGCGGUAAUACGUAGGGGGCAAGCGUUAUCCGGAUUUACUGGGUGUAAAGGGAGCGCAGGCGGGAGCGCAAGUCAGCAGUGAAAAUCCUGGGCUCAACUCUCGAACUGCUGUUGAAACUGUUAUUCUAGAGUGAAGGAGGGGCAUGCGGAAUUCCUGGUGUAGCGGUGAAAUGCGUAGAUAUUAGGAGGAACACCAGUGGCGAAGGCGGCCUGCUGGGCAUUUACUGACGCUGAGGCUCGAAAGCGUGGGGAGCAAACAGGAUUAGAUACCCGUGUAGUC